UGAAGAUAUAGUCUGAUACUCCUUGUAAAAGGA
RNAcentral lists this non-coding RNA (33 nucleotides) under Microgenomates group bacterium GW2011_GWA2_46_16. The record is from RNAcentral.